AUACUUCUGUCUUUCUGUUAUCUGACGUCUGAGGUAGUCAUGCCCCUUAUUUACUUGAUUUAAUAGACUCUAAGACUAUUGUAUCUCCUAAAUUUGUACUACUUAUGAAAUGAGUUUUUACUGUCAAAUCUGAUCCCCUUUCCAGCAUUUUGUCAUCUAACACAUCCAGUAAAUGAGGGAUAGAUCUGAGCAAGGAAACCUUUCUACUCUUUUUAAUAUGGUGAUUUUUGUUUUUUAAUUGUUAAUGAUUCUUUCAUUCUUCCUGUCUACUUCCAUUUCCUGCACCUGAUCACCUGGUCACGCUCUGACCAUUUCAAGACUUCAAGUAGUUUACAAAGGAGGUCAUGUUAAGGUUAAAAACACCAGAAUCUUGAUAAAAUAGGCUGAGACAUGACAAUACAUCGUUUGGUUUUGUGCAAAGUGUCAAAACGGAAAUAAAAAAGUAAUGAAAUACGUGAAACCAAAUGGAAAUGUAAAACAAUUAGCACUUAUCGUGUUUUGGAAAUGAGCUUUAUUUUCUUUUCUUUUUUUAAUUAUAAAGGCUGGGAAAUUGCUGAUGCAUUCCCCACAAUUUGCAUAUAUUGGGUUUAAAUUUGUCUAAGUUGUUUUUCAACAAAAUGCCUUUUUCUCCUUUUCUUUGUUUUUUCACAUUCUAAAAACCUGUGCUGCUCACUGAGAGCUUCAGAAAUGAAUUUCAAAGGCAGCACAAUAAAAGCUACAAAAUAAUUGAAGUCCCCCGCAGGACGUUCACUGUCAUUCCACUUAAACACACCAAAGGCUCCCGCAGCAAACGGAUUCUGUCAACUUUCUGUUUAUCAGGUUCUGUUGGACCGUGCAUCCACAAUACAAUUAUUAAAGGAAUGGACAAAUGAUUUGUGAUGUUUUAGUUACUUUUACAGACUGAAGGGUCACGCAAGAACCAACAGAUCAGCUGCACAUCUAAGAAAUAAAAAGGCACGGCGGCACAAAUGCUUUCAGCUUCCAUUUGUAAAAUCAUAGAAGAUGGCAAAGGUUACCGUGAACUUGAGACAUCACAUUCAUUUCUCCUCUACAGGACUCCAGACGUGAAAACAAGGUGACCCUCAUCCAAUACAUCAACUGACUGGAUCCAAGCACCAGGACCUUCUAGCCACGGAACCAACUCUCAGAUCACUUAACAGUGGAGUGGAGUUACUUGAAUGCCUGCUAAGCUGUUGAUGCUCUGUAGGCUAACCCCUCUAGAGCCCUACCUCGCCCAAGUAGACAUGGCAGCUUUACAUAAUGGAUGGAGCUGUAGAGAGACAGCCAUCGACAUGGCUCUUACCCUGGAGGGACCAGAGCUCCAAGUCUUUGUUGAAUUUUCUGCAGAGGAACGUCGUGACCUGCAGACCAUUAGUGAUGCCCUUGACAGGCAGUCCAGAGAGUGAAUCUCCAGAGAGCAGCUGAUCGCCAGAAGGCAGCAUGGUGGUGAAGACCUGAUGGAGGGCCAGCUCUACAAUGGCGCGACCAGCCUACCUUUUUCAGGUGCUCUUUUGUUAUGUGUUAAAAUGAAUUGUAGUAAGAACACACGACUCUGUCUUUCUCGAUGCGUGGGGUCAAAUGCAGUAUGAGGCACACGUCGGCUAUAAUUCUUGCAGUUUGUAGGGUGGUGGUGUCACUAGUUUCUAGCUCCUUUACUUUUGCUCCAACAUAAUGUUUUGUCAGAUAUUUAGUGUGUAAUUUUCCUUCAAACAAAUGAUAAUAAUAAUGACUUUCUCUUUUUGUCUUUGGACCUGUUUUUAAAGUCAAGAUUUUUAUUUAAAAUAGAGCAAAAUUUAACUUAAUUGCGUGUUAAAAAAUUUACAUUGUUGAGUACUUCUGUUCAUUAUAUCCUGGGAACAUUUUCAUCCCACAGCUGCACAUAGUUACUGUGUUACUCUUAUUCUUGUCCUUUCUUGUUCUUGAAACAUGUCUGUUUAAGUCACGCACCACACUGGAUGGUCUGACUCGUCUUCUGGCAUGUUGUCAUAUGCUAAGACAAUGGAUGGAUGAUUUUUUUUUUCUUUUCAUUUGAUUAAACACCAGAGAAAUGGCUUUAUAUAUUUUCAACCUACCAUGACCUUAAAGGUCAAAUGCUGUAUUAGCACACAAUCUGUGAGGAUGUUGAAAGUAGUUUGAUGCUAAAUUUAUGUAAUAUAAUGUAAUGCUGUUUUAUUGAAUUACCUGAUCAAAA
Oryzias melastigma (Indian medaka) is the source of this 2191-nucleotide long non-coding RNA. RefSeq lists it as uncharacterized. Lineage: Eukaryota; Metazoa; Chordata; Actinopteri; Beloniformes; Adrianichthyidae. The transcript has 3 exons. The record is from RefSeq and is a predicted model, not a curated record.